RNA transcript from Gossypium raimondii (Peruvian cotton), 1970 nucleotides. It is a transcript of the gene named sugar transporter ERD6-like 5, with no coding region annotated. Lineage: Eukaryota; Viridiplantae; Streptophyta; Magnoliopsida; Malvales; Malvaceae. The transcript is spliced from 20 exons. The record is from RefSeq and is a predicted model, not a curated record.
CGCACAUACUACGUAGGAAGCCAAAAACAUGUUAAAAGGAAACCCAGAUUGUAUGCAAGAUCGCCAAGCAUUUUUAUUUUCCUUUUUAACAUUCUCAUAAUUCCUAGUUAUUCACCAUUUUCAAAAAAAGUUUCGAGUUUCCAGGACAAAAAACAAAAAAAAAAAGAUGGGGGAAGAAAGGGCUACAGUGUUACAGUCGGAGUCUUUGCUUGUUAGAGAAGGAGCUGGUGAGAAUAGUUCAAGUGUCACCACUACACUCGUUCUUAGCACCUUUGUGGCAGCUAGCAUUUCCUUUGGUGUUGGUUAUAUUGCUGGAUAUACAUCACCUACUCAGUCUGUAAUCAUGGAGGACCUGGGUCUUUCUAUUGCAGAGUUUUCACUUUUUGGUUCACUGUUAAAUCUUGGAUCAAUUCUAGGGGCAUUAGUAAGUGGGAAGACUGUAGAUCUCCUCGGUCGUAAAGGCACCAUGUGGGUUUUGUACAUAUUCUACAUAGUGGGAUGGCUUGCAAUAGCAUUUGCAAAGGUUCCUUGGUUGCUUGAUGUAGGAAGAUUAUUGCUGGGAUUCAGCAAUGGAAUUGCUGGUUAUUUGUUGCCAGUAUAUCUUGCUGAGAUAACACCGAAAAACCUUAGGGGAAGAUUUACUGCUGGAGUACAGAUGAUGGCUAUCUUAGGCCUUUCAACGAUGUAUAUAGUUGGUCCUUUCAUCAAUUGGCGCAUCUUGGCUCUAAUCGGUAUAAUUCCGAGUCUUGUACAACUCCCUCUUCUAAUCUACAUUCCAGAGUCUCCUAGAUGGCUGGUAAAUGUUGGUCGAGAAGAGGAGUUUGAAACUGUGCUGCGGUCCCUCAGGGGAAAGAAAGCCAAUGUUUUUGAGGAAGCAGCUUCUAUAAAAGACUAUACGGAUUCGCUCAAACGAUUGUCAGGGGGAGGAAUGUUGGAUUUGUUUCAGCCAAAAUAUUAUCAUUCCCUAAUUAUUGGAAUUGGGCUGAAGGUACUUCAACACUCAGGUGGGAGCAAUGCAUAUACAUAUUACUCGGGAGUUAUUUUUACCUCUGUAGGCUUAUCGAAAUAUGUCGGGCUUAGUACGUUGGCUGUUAUCCAGAUGAUAACGGCCAUUGUUGGUGCAAGUUUAAUCGAUAAGUUCGGAAGACGAGCACUUCUCCUGGUAUCUUCAGCUGGAUUAUGCUUUGGCAGCUUCCUUACUGGGAUAUCAUUCCUUUUACAGGGUCAUCACUUGUGGAGUGAAGAAGCUCGAAUUUUGGCACUGAUUAGCAUUUGGGUGUAUAUGGGCUCAUACCAAGCAGGGAUGGAAGGAAUUCCAUGGGUUAUAGUGGCAGAGAUUUUUCCCAUAAACGUAAAAGGUGCAGCUGGGAGCUUAGCCGGUUUGACUGGGAAUAUUUGUUCUUGGACUGUUUCAUACAACUUUAACUUCUUAUUCCAAUGGAGCUCAGCAGGGACAUUCUUCAUAUAUUCAGCAAUUUGUGGUGUUUGUGUCAUAUUUAUUGCAAAGAUGGUACCGGAGACAAAGGGUCGUACACUCGAAGAAAUACAAGCAUCACUUACUACUUCUCCGUAGUGAGAACAAAGUGACCAAAAUAGAAUGGGGGAAGAAAGAGCUACAGAGUUGCAGUCCGAGUUUUUGCUUGUUAGAGAAGGACAUGGUGAUGAGCAGCAGAAUAGUUCAAAAAUAACAACUACUCUUGUUCUUAGCACCUUUGUGGUAGCUUGCAUUUCCUUUGGUUUUGGAUGUAUUGGGUAACGCGCAAUGCUUACUAAAAGACUCCGGGAUGAUCAUUUUUCUUACUUGUGUGGGUAUAAAGAGAAGCCAACUUGAAAUUUCAAACAACUCUAUGUGCUGUGCAGUUUUCACCUUUUGGUUCACUCUUAAAUCACCAUUCCUUGGUCGUAUAAGCUAUUAGAGUUGUGUGACUCAAAUCCCUCUUAAAUAAAACAAGAGAUUAUUUGCAAGUCAA